CUUUCCUGAGGACACAAAUGAACAAGUGGAACACCGCCAUCACCCUAAACCAAACAGACGGACAAAUAAUAAUCCCAGACCAUUCACAGUUCACAGGCUAUUCCAGGG
Long non-coding RNA from Thalassophryne amazonica, 108 nucleotides. RefSeq lists it as uncharacterized. The transcript has 3 exons. NCBI's taxonomy places the organism in Eukaryota, Metazoa, Chordata, Actinopteri, Batrachoidiformes, Batrachoididae. The record is from RefSeq and is a predicted model, not a curated record.